This is a long non-coding RNA of Gadus macrocephalus (Pacific cod), 1518 nucleotides long. RefSeq lists it as uncharacterized. The record is from RefSeq and is a predicted model, not a curated record. The transcript is spliced from 2 exons. NCBI's taxonomy places the organism in Eukaryota, Metazoa, Chordata, Actinopteri, Gadiformes, Gadidae.
GGGGAGGGCCCCCUCACUGACAGUCUCUGAAACAUGUCAGAGACAACAAGCAGGACUCUCUUCACUUAGUCCUUCAGGACGGCGUGCCUGCUCUUCUAGCAGAGAGCAGCCAGCAGUAGAGCGCCACCAGUGUUACGGGCCCUCAAGUAUUGUGGGCCCCUCCGAGGCCAGAGCAAUGGAUCGUCCUGGAGAACCUUGCCAUCAACAGCUACAUCGCCAGGUGGAGGGUCAUGACUCCUCCGAUAUGAUCCUCCACCUGAGGGACUACACCCACCUGACCCACUACCUGAGGGACCACACCCACCUGACCCUGAGGGACCACACCCACCUGACCCACUACAUGAGACCACACCCACCUGACCCUGAGGGACCACACCCACCUGACCCUGAGGGACCACACCCACCUGACCCUGAGGGACCACACCCACCUGACCCUGAGGGACCACACCCACCUGACCCUGAGGGACCUGGUAAUCCCAAGGAUAUUUCUUGUUCUCCCUUCAGGGAAGGUUAACUUGGUUACACAACUCAAAGGAAGUAGUGCAAUUGAAAGUGUUGCGGUAGACGAGGAAAACCCUACAAUUCAUGACCCUCUCUCAGACAGACCACAGGAUUUGACCAUACUAAUAUGUCAAGUAACUCAAAAUCCCUGUUUAAAAACUAACUCAAACUUACAUUAGAUGUUCAAUUAUCAAUUAAUGUUUUGUAUAUUCAUUCACGCAUAUUUAUGCAAGUCUGAGUAGGUCCCAGAUGCGCAGGGUUAAGUGUACUUUUGAGUUUGAGAAGAAUUUUGAGAAGGGCUGUUGUGGGUUUAUACAAGGGGGAAUGUACAAGUUUAUAGCUUUAACCAUUUGGUCACCUCUAUGACAUGUUUCAGUAAAUGUAUUCAUCAUUAGUUACUAUUCCAACACUAUACAUGAUUUAUUUUAGUUGUACAAGGAAGACAACUAGAAAAUCUACCUGCAGGGGUCCAUACAUAUGUUGGAGAAAGAUGCAAUACUUCAUUAAAAAAGGUGUGGACACACAGCCUUUACUUUGACUCUUUAUUUAGAUCUAUGGUUUGAAUGUGGCUGGACAGAACAGUAGUAACAAAUACAAACUAAGACUGGUGUUUCAUUGUUCUGUGACAUCACAUACCUAAAACUAGUUUCAACCAGAAGAAAAAAAAAAGCGACAUCAGCUAACAGAAUUUCUGAUACAGAAAAUACAAUUUACGGAAUGAAAACAAAAAAAAUAAACACUGAGCAUUGGAGCGGGCUCUCUAGCGCCUCGCUGUCCUUUGAAUAAUCAGGCCUCAUUACAUCAGAAAUGAAACAUUAUGUAAAGACAAAUCAAAGUUUAUACUGGAAACCAUGAGAAACAUGCUGCAAAGGGAAUGUCUCCCCAACGCUGACGUUGAGGUUUUACUUAACAAUGGUUAAAUCGCAUCGAUGCAUUACUGAAAUAAGGGAUUAAAGUCUGCACUGUAAGAACAAUGUCAUUUUUUUUGCUUAAAACUUACAACCCAACGGUUUGACA